UACAGAGGGUGCGAGCGUUAAUCGGAAUUACUGGGCGUAAAGCGCACGUAGGUGGCGACGUAAGUCGGGUGUGAAAGCACCGGGCUCAACCUGGGAAUUGCAUUCGAGACUGCAUUGCUGGAGUACGGAAGAGGAGGGCGGAAUUCCCGGUGUAGCGGUGAAAUGCGUAGAUAUCGGGAGGAACAUCAGUGGCGAAGGCGGCCCUCUUGUCCAGUACGGACACUCAAGUGCGAAAGCAUGGGGAGCAAACAGG
RNAcentral lists this ribosomal RNA (253 nucleotides) under uncultured bacterium. RNAcentral describes it as "partial 16S ribosomal RNA". It matches the Rfam family "Bacterial small subunit ribosomal RNA", at positions 524 to 776 of the family's 1533-position model. The record is from RNAcentral.